GAGGAGUUCUGAGGCUGCCUGUUUAAGCCCUUAAUCAAAAGACACAAUAUUGCAAAGAGUCUCUAGCUGGAAUUUCCUUUCUUUUCAAACAAGCAAAGGAAUCAGAAGAAAAUAAGAAUUGAAGCUUUGAAGAGCUAUGCUGAAGAAGCCCAGGAAGUUUCCAGAUUCUUCCAGAUGGCAUUUGCCAUAGCGAGAUGGUCCAGUUCAUGGACUUUUUCCCCAUUUCUGUUUUUUGAGAAUUAAGAGAGAGCUUGCUUGUGUGUACUCUCUUGGAAGGUGACAGUAAGAGAGGGUAGGAUGUGGAAGAGGAAUAAGUGCAAUGGCUCCAACCU
This 332-nucleotide long non-coding RNA is filed under the name Phascolarctos cinereus (koala). Its description in RNAcentral is "lncRNA (ENSPCIG00000032504.1)". Lineage: Eukaryota; Metazoa; Chordata; Mammalia; Diprotodontia; Phascolarctidae. The record is from RNAcentral.